UACAUGGGGUGCGAACGUUGCUCGGAAUCAUUGGGCGUAAAGCGCGCGUAGGCGGUUACUUAAGUCGAAUGUGAAAGCCCUCGGCUUAACCGAGGAAGUGCAUCCGAAACUGAGUAGCUAGAGUACGAAAGAGGGUCGCGGAAUUCCCGGUGUAGAGGUGAAAUUCGUAGAUAUCGGGAGGAACACCGGUGGCGAAGGCGGCGACCUGGGUCGAGACUGACGCUGAGGCGCGAAAGCGUGGGGAGCAAACAGG
Molecule: ribosomal RNA, 253 nt
Filed under: uncultured bacterium
Lineage: Bacteria
Description: partial 16S ribosomal RNA
Rfam family: Bacterial small subunit ribosomal RNA
Source: RNAcentral